UACGUAGGGGGCUAGCGUUGUCCGGAAUCAUUGGGCGUAAAGAGCGUGUAGGCGGCCCGGUAAGUCCGCUGUGAAAGUCGGGGGCUCAACCCUCGAAUGCCGGUGGAUACUGUCGGGCUAGAGUCCGGAAGAGGCGAGUGGAAUUCCUGGUGUAGCGGUGAAAUGCGCAGAUAUCAGGAGGAACACCGAUGGCGAAGGCAGGUCUCUGGGCAUUAACUGACGCUGAGGAGCGAAAGCAUGGGGAGCGAACAGG
RNAcentral lists this ribosomal RNA (253 nucleotides) under uncultured bacterium. Its description in RNAcentral is "partial 16S ribosomal RNA". It matches the Rfam family "Bacterial small subunit ribosomal RNA", at positions 524 to 776 of the family's 1533-position model. The record is from RNAcentral.